This 955-nucleotide non-coding RNA is filed under the name Trichomonas vaginalis G3. Its description in RNAcentral is "Eukaryotic large subunit ribosomal RNA". It matches the Rfam family "Eukaryotic large subunit ribosomal RNA", at positions 1089 to 2245 of the family's 3401-position model. The record is from Rfam by way of RNAcentral. Lineage: Eukaryota; Parabasalia; Trichomonadida; Trichomonadidae.
ACCUAACUGGAAAUGCUUAAAUGAAUUAGCGUUACAAGUGGGCUCUGACCGGUAAGCGGUCAUGGCGAAAUGGGAUGAACCAUACGUCUGAAUAAGGUGCCGAAAUGUACUAUCACUGAUACCAUAAAGGGAGUCCAUGUAUUUAGACAGCAGGUCGGUGCCCCUAAAAGCAGGUAUCCGCUAAAGAGUGUGUUAAAACUCACCUGCCGAAUACUAGGGCCCCGAAAAUGAAUGGCGCAUAUAGUACUACCGAUCUCAGACAUCAGUUCUAUUGAACUGAGAGUAGGGGGAUGUGGACAUUUUUGUGAAGGUGCAAUGUGAGUUGGACUGGAAGAAUGUCUAUUACAGAUCCUAAUUGAAGUAGCGAUUAUCCAGGCUUGUAUCCUGGGGGCUGAUGAGGAGUAGGGUUUCUGGACAACUUAAACAGAUCCAGAGUUAGUCGAUCCUAAUCUCAAUAAUGGGAGAAAGGGAGUACAGUUGAUAUUCUGUAACUGACAACAGUUCGCGGCAACGCAUACUAUUUUUCUCCGCCAAUCUUAUACCGUUGGUAGGGAUCUCUUUCCUACAUGACAGUACUAAUACCCAGGGAAACUGGUCAUCAGGCGAACUGCGGCGUUCUGCUGGCAAAACAUAGCUUCGGUUAUGUCAAUGGCUAUUGGAUUGGUCCAUGAAGCGAAAAAUAGUUUACUGUGUCACUCGUACCGAUAACCGCAUCAGGUCUUCUAGGUAAGUAGCCUAUGGCCAUUGAGGCAUGAUAGUUCAGGGAAUUCGGCCAAUUAGAGCUGUAACUUCGGGAUAAAGCUUGGCUCUGAUGAAAAUCAGAACCGAUUGUUACGCGGAGAGCCCAACUGUUUAAUAAAAACGUAGUGUCGCGCUGUGGUAGUAUAGCCAGUGAACGCGACAUGAAUCCUGCUCAGUGCUGUGUCUGUUAAUAUGUUCAAGCCACGAAGCACGG